AGCAAUGUCAGUGAUAACAAGCAAAAAUAGGACAGGGGAGAAAGCCAAGAGUCUUCAGACCACAAGAGAAGGAGAGAUUAAUUCUGGAAAAUCCACCUGGAUGGACAGCAGCAGAGGGAGGAGGAGGCAGGACAGACCAGAAGAGAGACAAUGAGGUUCUGAACCUAGAUGUUGGCCAAGGGAGCAGAGGAGGGCAGGUCAGGAGGCCCUCGCCCUGCAAUCACCCUUCCUGGGAGCCUUCACUUCACCUGUGAUCUCAAGACCUCUCCCUACUGCCUGACUCGCGCCGAGCUUAUGGAACAUCUUCCCUUGAGGGUCGCAGUCCAUUCGAUGAGCCCUUGUCACAGGUCCUGCUUCUGUGGGGAGCUCAAGCGCGGACACCCUUGGAACACUCCCCAAGUCUCUUCCUUCCCAUCCAGCACCACUUCCCUAAGUCACAGCUGCACCACCUCUCAUCUGGACUGCUCACAGCAGGUGGAGUCAGGAUCAAAAUAGCCAAAGAAAAAGUAAGAAUCCGUAUACAGGAAACAAAUAUGUGAUGAUGACCGGAGCAGCUCAGAAUCAGAACUUGAGCAAGACCUGGGCUGCUUUGAUUUUCUGAAGGUCUCAAAAUAUUAGGGGCAAAAAAGAAAAUAAAAAAAGAAAAAAAAGAAGGAAUACCAAAAGCAAGUUACAUAAAGUAUGAGAUAUAUUACAUGUUUCCAGUGAACAAGUGAACAGUUUGGCACGUCAAAGACACAACGUCAGAGCAUUUAGCCUCAAUUGGCGAUAACCUGAAAAGCCUGAAAAGCAAAGCCUUCUGGGAAUGUGAGCUCCAGUUCUGGGAUGAACCCUGAAAAGGACAGAGUGAGCCACACGUGGUGGCCGGACCAUGGGUAAGGGGUGAGCACUGCUGGGCUCCAUUCUGCUGGAAGGACGGACAAUCUCCUUCUGCACAAUAACUGGUGUGAGGGGGCCGGACGCUGUGAGGGUCAGGAAGGGGAGGGUCCACCCAAAGUAGGCUAAUGGAGCAGUUGGUGACCCCAUUUCCCCAGCUUUCAGCCAGAGAUAUCCCAGAUGUCAUGGGAGAGCCAUUGGAUGCUCUCAGCUCUGAAUUUUCAUGCCUCUGCCACGGUUAGCAUCAGAGCAGUGAUUUCCAUCCAACAUAGCAAAAAACUUUUCAUGGGAGACCAAAAGCUUGUGGCUUCAGAAUGAAUCCAGAAAAAAAAAAAAAUCCCUGUCAUGAGGGUGAAAGGAGCUGCCAGCCUCAACAGGGCUCCUUGGAGAAGACAUUUGAGACUUACAUUCCAGGCAAAGUGGCACUUCACAUUCUGGGUUCUGACCUUCUUGGAAUAAAUGUCUCCACCUGCGGGCAGAA
This 1357-nucleotide long non-coding RNA is filed under the name Homo sapiens (human). RNAcentral describes it as "HSALNT0403842". Lineage: Eukaryota; Metazoa; Chordata; Mammalia; Primates; Hominidae. The record is from RNAcentral.